This 29-nucleotide non-coding RNA is filed under the name Mus musculus (house mouse). The record is from RNAcentral. Lineage: Eukaryota; Metazoa; Chordata; Mammalia; Rodentia; Muridae.
UGACAAAAUGUGACAAGAUACAAGAGGGA